This 183-nucleotide unclassified non-coding RNA is filed under the name plant metagenome. RNAcentral describes it as "partial contains small subunit ribosomal RNA and internal transcribed spacer 1". The stretch from base 1 to 46 matches the Rfam family "Eukaryotic small subunit ribosomal RNA", at positions 1786 to 1831 of the family's 1831-position model. The record is from RNAcentral.
AAGUCGUAACAAGGUUUCCGUAGGUGAACCUGCGGAAGGAUCAUUAAAGAAUUAGGCUUCGCGGCCAAGUUCUCACCCUUUGUAUACCGAAACCAUGUUGCUUUGCGGCCGGCCUUGCUUCGCGGCGCCAGAGGUUAUAAACCCUAGAAUCUCUGCUGUCUGAGUACUAUACAAUAGUUAAAA